CUUAAAGAAGACUCCAAGUGUCCUUCAUUGUGUAAUGACAAGGAAUUAACCCUGUUGUCGACGAGCAAGACAACGCCACAGAGAGAAACCGAGUACAGUGACAGAGCCGUCUGCAGCCGCCGAAGCUUAGCGCCACCACUGCCAUGUCGGCGAUGUUUGCAGAAGUCCAGCACGUUGGCACGUACCAGCCGAAGAUUGUGCAUGGUCUUCAGCUGAGCUCCUGAAGAAAGCUGACAGGAUGGAUGGCUUGAAAGGACAACAAAGCUGCCAAGUUCCACACUGACAGAAAGAUAGGAACCUAAUUCCAUUUAAUAAUUGACUCAAAAAUGUUAAUGUGGCUAACGA
Molecule: long non-coding RNA, 345 nt
Organism: Colossoma macropomum (tambaqui)
Lineage: Eukaryota; Metazoa; Chordata; Actinopteri; Characiformes; Serrasalmidae
Exons: 3
Source: RefSeq, a predicted model, not a curated record